This is a long non-coding RNA of Oncorhynchus nerka (sockeye salmon), 973 nucleotides long. RefSeq lists it as uncharacterized. NCBI's taxonomy places the organism in Eukaryota, Metazoa, Chordata, Actinopteri, Salmoniformes, Salmonidae. The record is from RefSeq and is a predicted model, not a curated record. The transcript has 2 exons.
CGUCAGCAAUUCACUAUAUAAACAGAGAUGAUAACAGGUUAGUCUGAUGUUGAAGAUGGGAGGGGACAGAGAUGAUAACAGGUUGGUCUGUUGUUGAAGAUGGGAGGGGACAGAGAUGAUAACAGGUUAGUCUGUUGUUGAAGAUGGGAGGGACAGAGAUGAUAACAGGUUAGUCUGUUGUUGAAGAUGGGAGGGGACAGAGAUAAUACCAUCUGCAUUAUGAAUACAGUCCCUGAUAGUCACCAUAUACCAUACUCUGGUCUAAAGUAGUGCACUAUAUAGGGAAUAGGGCUCUGGUCACUAGUAGUGCACUAUAUAGGGAAUAGGGCUCUGGUCUAUAGUAGUGCACUAUAUAGGGAAUAGGGCUCUGGUCUAUAGUAGUGCACUAUAUAGGGAAUAGGGCUCUGGUCUAUAGUAGUGCACUAUAUAGGGAAUAGGGCUCUGGUCACUAGUAGUUCACUAUAUAGGGAAUAGGACUCUGGUCACUAGUAGUUCACUAUAUAGGGAAUAGGGCUCUGGUCACUAGUAGUUCAGUAUAUAGGGAAUAGGGCCCUGGUCACUAGUAGUUCAGUAUAUAGGGAAUAGGGUGGUAUUUGGGACCCUGAGCCUGUAGUUUGCAUCCAGAAGAAGUGAUGUCAGAGUGGUCUGUGUCCCAAAUGAGACUGAUCUGUCCCUGCUGUUCCCUACCUUGUAUUUACAUGUAUCUCUCUACUAAACCCUCCAACGUAGGCUUGUGUCCCAAAUUACACCCUAUUGCCUAUAUACUGCACUCCUGUAAUAGGGAUUAGGGUGCCGCUGAGACCCUCCGUCGCCAACUGUCUUGCACAGGAAAUAUCUAUCAGGAUUUCCUUGAUAGUGAAUGUCAGAAGAAUAACAUGUAAAAAAUAAAUACAAAAUAAACAUGAUUUUAUGUAAAUUGUUGUGACAAGUGAUGGCUCAAUAAAAGUCGUUUUCAGGAUGUUUUGUGACUGAA